AAAAACUAAUAAAUGACCAAAACUAUAUUUUCAUAAAGUUUCUACUUCUUAUUCUCAAUUUUACGUGAAUAAUUGACAAUUGAAAAUAAUGCGAUUUCGGAUAGUUUUUAUUUAUUUACGACUUAACCAUUCUUAACGUGUGAUGCCUCAUUUGAUAGAUAUCUUUAAUACCUACAAUUUUUAGAGCAAACUUUUUAUGAACCUAUUAUUGGAAUCGUUGUUAUAUCCAAAAAAUCUGUUUUCGAUAACCUUAAAGGUAAUUUACAAAAUCUAUGUCAGAAAUUUUGAGUGGCAAACAUAUAGAAUUUGUUCCUGAAUAUAAUUGUGCGAACGUAAAAACUGACAAAUGACAGAUCGGUUUGUUCUGUAUCUUUGGAUUACAUUUUGAUACGCAAUACAUCAAAGGAAUGAUACGCAUGGGCUUUUAAGCAAUAAGUACAUUACGUCCACCUUUAGAGUUAGAAAUAAUUAAUUAAAUAAUUAAUAAAAUAAAUAAUUAAUAUUAAAAUGGUGAAAAGAUUUUCUUUUGUUUGGUACUUGUUCGACCGUUUACAGAGAGACGCGUUCGCCGUAAAUCGCAACAACGGGAGUUGUAAAUUCCCGUUACGAUUAUCUAAUCGAUGCUACGAAAUGAUCGAUCCCCUAUUUCGUUCAGAAUAAUAGAGGUGGUUGAAUCGAUUAUAACACUGCAGUAACAGGUUACAAUGUAUACUUUAUUCCAACAACUUAAUGGAUUUAACAUUCAAUAGAACGGUGAAUAUGUCAACAGACAGAAUACAAGUUAAGACGGAGUAUAUGAUACACGUCAGUUACGAGUGGAAAUCCCGGGAUAAAUAGGAAAAACAAAGUUUCCCCGAUUUUUUAUUGGUUGGAAUAAUGGCCCUAAGGAAUGGCUCGAAUCGACCUCUACGUUGCAGCAAUUGAGGGCCAUGCAGUUAAAACAUUCUUUUUUUAUUUAUUUGUUGAAAUUACAAUCAAUUUUCGCGUUGAGAAUUUUCAGUAACUUUUCUGGCGUGGCGCAGUGACAUGGCUGUUUAUUUAUAAUAAGUUAAUGCUUAUUAUAGAUAAGUACAAUUUAUAAGUAUUAUAAGAUUACUGCGGGCCGACCUAUGAUGUUUGCACCGCUAGCGGACGUCCCGACCGAAGGUCAGAUUUCAGCCCGUACAGCCGUACAGCCCGUAACAGUACUAAUAGUUUUUGGAUAUAAAUACAGAAGGAAUGGCUUUCUAUAGGAAAUAUCAUGACAGAUUGUUUAAUGUAUUAAUAAUUGUAUAGUUCCAUAAAAAAACUGAAAUUGCCCUUUUUUGGAUCUCUGAACAAUUCUUUACGACAUCUCGAUAAACAGCAUAUAUUUUAAAAUUUUCUACUUUCCUUGCCACAAUAUUAAAUACCGAAUCAUAAAUCUGAUCAUCGCACAGCGGGAGCGACAUAUAGUAUAGAUUGACUA
Molecule: long non-coding RNA, 1447 nt
Organism: Bombus huntii
Lineage: Eukaryota; Metazoa; Arthropoda; Insecta; Hymenoptera; Apidae
Exons: 3
Source: RefSeq, a predicted model, not a curated record